RNAcentral lists this ribosomal RNA (763 nucleotides) under uncultured Streptococcus sp. RNAcentral describes it as "bacterial SSU rRNA". It matches the Rfam family "Bacterial small subunit ribosomal RNA", at positions 28 to 776 of the family's 1533-position model. The record is from RNAcentral. Lineage: Bacteria; Bacillati; Bacillota; Bacilli; Lactobacillales; Streptococcaceae.
GACGAACGCUGGCGGCGUGCCUAAUACAUGCAAGUAGAACGCUGAAGGAGGAGCUUGCUUCUCUGGAUGAGUUGCGAACGGGUGAGUAACGCGUAGGUAACCUGCCUGGUAGCGGGGGAUAACUAUUGGAAACGAUAGCUAAUACCGCAUAAGAGUAGAUGUUGCAUGACAUUUGCUUAAAAGGUGCAAUUGCAUCACUACCAGAUGGACCUGCGUUGUAUUAGCUAGUUGGUGAGGUAACGGCUCACCAAGGCGACGAUACAUAGCCGACCUGAGAGGGUGAUCGGCCACACUGGGACUGAGACACGGCCCAGACUCCUACGGGAGGCAGCAGUAGGGAAUCUUCGGCAAUGGACGGAAGUCUGACCGAGCAACGCCGCGUGAGUGAAGAAGGUUUUCGGAUCGUAAAGCUCUGUUGUAAGAGAAGAACGAGUGUGAGAGUGGAAAGUUCACACUGUGACGGUAUCUUACCAGAAAGGGACGGCUAACUACGUGCCAGCAGCCGCGGUAAUACGUAGGUCCCGAGCGUUGUCCGGAUUUAUUGGGCGUAAAGCGAGCGCAGGCGGUUAGAUAAGUCUGAAGUUAAAGGCUGUGGCUUAACCAUAGUACGCUUCGGAAACUGUUUAACUUGAGUGCAAGAGGGGAGAGUGGAAUUCCAUGUGUAGCGGUGAAAUGCGUAGAUAUAUGGAGGAACACCGGUGGCGAAAGCGGCUCUCUGGCUUGUAACUGACGCUGAGGCUCGAAAGCGUGGGGAGCAAACAGG